CUACAACAAUAUCAAGAACAAACCUCACCAACUCCAAAGUCCAAAUUGCCCUACCGGUGAGCCAUUGAAUCAAAUUAAUACCAAAAGCAAGAAUCACCAAUCAGGAAAAAUAGAGAAAUUUCUCAUUUCUUUUUCCUCUUAACUUCCUGGAAACAAAUCACAGAAAUGAGAUACUAGAAAACCCUCCUGGAUUAUUGAAGAAAGAAAGAGGAGCAAGAUGAGCUUCAGCUCUGAUGCUUUGACCACUACUCUCUC
RNAcentral lists this unclassified non-coding RNA (255 nucleotides) under Hevea brasiliensis (rubber tree). Lineage: Eukaryota; Viridiplantae; Streptophyta; Magnoliopsida; Malpighiales; Euphorbiaceae. The record is from RNAcentral.